Molecule: non-coding RNA, 29 nt
Filed under: Homo sapiens (human)
Lineage: Eukaryota; Metazoa; Chordata; Mammalia; Primates; Hominidae
Source: RNAcentral
UUUGCUGACGGUGGCCUGUUUUUAUUAUU